Non-coding RNA from Ictidomys tridecemlineatus (thirteen-lined ground squirrel), 68 nucleotides. The record is from Rfam. NCBI's taxonomy places the organism in Eukaryota, Metazoa, Chordata, Mammalia, Rodentia, Sciuridae.
GGAUUGUGGCUCAGUGGUAGAGUACUUGCCUAGCAUGCAUGAUGAACUGGGUUUGAUCCCUAGCACCA